CAUGUCUUUUUGAAUAUAAUUUAAAGUCUGAUCUGCUCAAUGAAAUUUAAAUAGCCGCAGUAUUUUGACUGUGCGAAGGUAGCAUAAUAAUUAGUUUCUUGAUUAGGAACUGGAAUGAACGAUUUGACAAGAAAAUUACUGUCUCUUUUUUAAUAUUAUUGAAUUUUAUUUUUAAGUGAAAAAGCUUAGAUUUUUAUAAAAGACGAGAAGACCCUAUAGAGUUUGAUAAUUUUAAAUAAUUAUAUGUUAGAAUAAUUUUUUGUUUAGAUUUAUUUAAUUGGGGUGAUUGAAAGAUUAAAAAAAUUCUUUUAUAUAAAAAUUGUUAAUUAACAAAUUUUAAAUCUAUAAUUUAUAAAUAUAAAAUAAAUUACCUUAGGGAUAACAGCGUAAUUUUUCUUUAAAGUUCUUAUUAUAAGGAAAGUUUGCGACCUCGAUGUUGGAUUAAAAUAAAUUUUUGGUGCAAUAACUAAAAAAUUAGGUCUGUUCGACCUUUAAAAUUUUACAUGAUCUGAGUUUAAACCGGUGUGAGCCAGGUUGGAUUCUAUCUUUAGAAAGUUAAUAUAUUUUAGUACGAAAGGACCAAAUAUAUAUUAAAUUAAUUG
This 602-nucleotide ribosomal RNA is filed under the name Cautires sp. UPOL A00082. RNAcentral's name for it is "partial 16S ribosomal RNA". It matches the Rfam family "Bacterial large subunit ribosomal RNA", at positions 1816 to 2714 of the family's 2925-position model. The record is from RNAcentral. Lineage: Eukaryota; Metazoa; Arthropoda; Insecta; Coleoptera; Lycidae.